Molecule: long non-coding RNA, 346 nt
Organism: Lepidothrix coronata (blue-crowned manakin)
Lineage: Eukaryota; Metazoa; Chordata; Aves; Passeriformes; Pipridae
Exons: 4
Source: RefSeq, a predicted model, not a curated record
CAAGAAGUCUCCAGCUGUGACACUUUGCAGAGGAACCAUCAGACAUCCCAGUGGGGAGAGCACCACAUGUCAGGAGGAGUUUGGAGGAGUUUGGAGACAGCUUUCAAUGGCCCAGAUUUGUGACUACUCAGCUGCUAAAAACCAACACCUAGUGCAGUUCCUCACAGAGCCUAUUUACUCUCCUGUGUCGGUAGCAUGUGGAAGAAAGGACAAGAGGAGAGGCAGAGCUAUACAGGAGCCUGUACCAGCCCACUGAAAAAAGCAGACUAGAAAUAAGAAAUGGGUCUGUUGCAAAUGAAGUGGAAGGUCGAAGGAGCUUGCUGGCCCUUGGCUGAUGUGUGCAUCU